UUAGGCAAUGGAUGUCUUGGCUUCUUACACGAUGAAGAACGUUGCAUAAUGCGAUAAGCGGCUGGAUUAGCUUUCUUUGCGACAAGUUCGAUCUUUGAAUGCACAUUGCGCGCCGUUUUAGCUUGCUAGAACACGCAUAUAUGUUACAGUAACCCAUAUU
RNAcentral lists this ribosomal RNA (160 nucleotides) under Tritrichomonas sp. AUTf. RNAcentral describes it as "5.8S ribosomal RNA". It matches the Rfam family "5.8S ribosomal RNA". Rfam says of the family: 5.8S ribosomal RNA (5.8S rRNA) is a component of the large subunit of the eukaryotic ribosome. It is transcribed by RNA polymerase I as part of the 45S precursor that also contains 18S and 28S rRNA. Functionally, it is thought that 5.8S rRNA may be involved in ribosome translocation. The record is from RNAcentral. Lineage: Eukaryota; Parabasalia; Tritrichomonadida; Tritrichomonadidae.